This 465-nucleotide ribosomal RNA is filed under the name Vreelandella stevensii. RNAcentral describes it as "partial 16S ribosomal RNA". It matches the Rfam family "Bacterial small subunit ribosomal RNA", at positions 338 to 795 of the family's 1533-position model. Lineage: Bacteria; Pseudomonadati; Pseudomonadota; Gammaproteobacteria; Oceanospirillales; Halomonadaceae. The record is from RNAcentral.
CCUACGGGAGGCAGCAGUGGGGAAUAUUGGACAAUGGGGGCAACCCUGAUCCAGCCAUGCCGCGUGUGUGAAGAAGGCCCUCGGGUUGUAAAGCACUUUCAGUGAGGAAGAACGCCUGGUGGUUAAUACCCAUCAGGAAAGACAUCACUCACAGAAGAAGCACCGGCUAACUCCGUGCCAGCAGCCGCGGUAAUACGGAGGGUGCGAGCGUUAAUCGGAAUUACUGGGCGUAAAGCGCGCGUAGGGGGCUUGAUAAGCCGGUUGUGAAAGCCCCGGGCUCAACCUGGGAACGGCAUCCGGAACUGUCAAGCUAGAGUGCAGGAGAGGAAGGUAGAAUUCCAGGUGUAGCGGUGAAAUGCGUAGAGAUCGGGAGGAAUACCAGUGGCGAAGGCGGCCUUCUGGACUGACACUGACACUGAGGUGCGAAAGCGUGGGUAGCAAACAGGAUUAGAUACCCCUGUAGUC